UGCCAGAUCAGAGUAUCUGAAAAAGAGUCUCCCAAGAUUUUAUCUACUUCCUAUGGAAAUGGUGCCAAGAAACAGGAAGGUGCCCAGAAACAACCUAAGCUCCAGAACUUAUGAGGAAAAUAUGUCUGUUUUCUCCAAAUACUGGAAAAUCAUACAAUCUUCCAAUGACAUGAACAUAUCUGCAAAGAUGAACAGUUCCAAGAUGCAGGAAAGGGACAGGAGCCUGGG
Long non-coding RNA from Suricata suricatta (meerkat), 228 nucleotides. RefSeq lists it as uncharacterized. The transcript has 3 exons. The record is from RefSeq and is a predicted model, not a curated record. Lineage: Eukaryota; Metazoa; Chordata; Mammalia; Carnivora; Herpestidae.